This 1480-nucleotide long non-coding RNA is filed under the name Equus asinus (donkey). Its description in RNAcentral is "lncRNA (ENSEASG00005029222.1)". Lineage: Eukaryota; Metazoa; Chordata; Mammalia; Perissodactyla; Equidae. The record is from RNAcentral.
CCAGCUUCACACUUUCUACCAACCCGCACCGGCUUCACCAGACGUUGAGUGGUCUGCCCGCUGGAUUCGCAGGGAACGCAGUUGCAUUUUUACCCAAAGGCAGUACAGACACAGUGAAAGCUUUUAAGAUCUCCAAGUCUUAAACACCUUUCGUCUCCAGAACCGGGCACAUGCCUGGCACGAAGCUGAAGGGCCUCACUUGCAAAAAUGAAGGAUGAGCUAGCCCUAAUGGCCUAGCAGUUAAAGUUUGGUGCGUUCUGCUUUGGCGUCCUCGAUUUGGUUCCUGAGUGUGGAACCACACCACUCGUCUGUCAGUAGCCAUGCUGUGGUGGCGGCUCACAUAGAAGAACAAGAAGGACUUACAACUAGAAUAUACAACUAUGUACUGGGGCUUUGGAGAGGGUGAAAAAAAAAUGAAUGAAUGAAUGAAUGAAUAAACAAAUGUCACAUUUGAGAAAAUCAUUCAACAUUGCGGCCAAGACUGCUCCUUGUGUUUAAAUAUUGUCUCCCCCUAUUUUUUGGUGGGGGAGACAUAGGGCACUAUGGGUGUUUUUUAAAAAAUAAAUUUAUAUCCCCUUCACACAUUUCUCCCACCUCCACUCCCUGCCUCUUGAAACUACCAAUCUGUUCUCUGUAUUUAUGAGCUUGUUCUUGUUUUUGGUUUUGAUUCCACAUAUAAGAGAGAUCAUGCAGUAUUUGUCUUUGUCUCUGACUUAUUUUACUUAGCAUAAUGCCCUUGAGGUCCGUCCACGUUUUUGCAAACAGCAAGAUUUCAUUCUUUUCUAUGGCUAAGUAGUAUUCCAGUGUGUGUGUGUGUGUGCGCGCACGCGUGUGCAUGCGUGCUACAAUAUCUUUAUCCAUUCAUCCAUUGAUAGACACUUAGGCUGUUUCCAUGUCUUGGCUAUUGUAACUAAUGCUGCAAUGAACAUAGGGAUGCAUAUAUGUUUUCAAGUUAGUGUUUUCUUUUUUUUGGAUAAAUACCCAAAGAUGGGAUUAUUGGAUCAUAUGGUAUUUCCAUUUGUAAUUCUUUGAGGAACCUCCACACCACUUUCCAUAGUGGCUGCACCUGUUUACAUUCCCACUGACAGUGAACUAGGGUUCCCCUUUCUCCACAUCCUUGCUAACACUUGUUAUCUCUCGUCUUUUUCACAACAGCCCCCUGACAGGUGUGAGGUGAUAUCUCACUGUUCAUUUUUAAAUAUUAACAUGAGUUGGUGCUACAGGAGGUGGAUGAUGAGCUUCAGUGGCUCUCUUUCAGCAUUUCUGAAUGCUGAGAGAACCCAAAGUCCUUGCCCUCUGUCUAGUAUUCAAAUUCACUUCCUACCCUGAAACACAUUUGGAAGAAUUGGAGGAAUUCUUCUGGGGAGCUCAGAUAGUAUCCCUGAUACCCUGGAUGGGGAAACUUGGUGUGAACCAUGGUGUUCCAAGAAGUGGCUUUUUGAAUGUUCAGCAUAAAAUAUCAUUGGCCCUGACCUGAUCC